Molecule: long non-coding RNA, 1773 nt
Organism: Oreochromis niloticus (Nile tilapia)
Lineage: Eukaryota; Metazoa; Chordata; Actinopteri; Cichliformes; Cichlidae
Exons: 4
Source: RefSeq, a predicted model, not a curated record
UUGCCCUGUAUUUGGCUCCAUCCAUCUUCCCAUCAACUCUGACCAGCUUCCCUGUCCCUGCUGAAGGGAAGCACCCCCAGAGCAUGAUGCUGCCACCACCAUAUUUGACAGUGGGGAUGGUGCGUUCACAGUGAUGUGCAGCAUCACAGAACAUCCAGAAACAACAGAGAAUCUUCUGAAUGUUGUUGAUUGCAGCAGACAGUAAAACAAAUGCAGCUCAGCAGCCUUCAGACUGAAACGAGAUGCUGCAGAGGAAAACGUCUUUUCUGAAAAUGCACUGGGCUUCACAUUCACGUCCUUGUCCACAGCGAACACGGAGCAGAGAAUUUCCACCCAGUUUUUCUUUGUCACAGAAUAACAAAGAGAUUGAAAAGCAACCAUCUCCAAAUAUGGAGCUCUCUGCACCAGAGCACACCGGAGCAACGAAUAUUAUCUUCAGAAGAGCUCUGACCACUUCAGGAUGUUUGCUGUCCACCAACUGAAACCUAAGAAAGAGAAUCCUGGGACUCUGACAACAACAACAACAUCCAUCCAUUCUCUUCCACUUAUCCCUGUCAGGGUUGCUGGAGCCUAUCAGGGUACACUGUGGACAGCUCGCCAGCCUGACGCAGGGCUAACACAUACAGAAAAUCAUUCACACUCACAGUCAGCUCUAUGGGCAUUUUAGAUUCUCCAGUUAACCUAGCCCCACUAAUUGCAUGUCUUUAAACUGUGGGACGAAGCUGGACAAAGAAACCAUUAUGGCUGAGAAGACAAACAAAGAAACAGGAGGGCAACUGGAAGUACAAAGAACUUAACAAAAAAUCUGAACUUGUAAAAGCUAAGAAAACAGAUCACAACAGGCUGGAAAACAGAGACACAGGGAGACAGGCAGAAGGACCGCAGGGGCAACAUGGAGGAUGAUCACACAGAUGGCCUGACAAGGAACAGAGGAAAGCAGAGACUUUUGCUGUGUCCAAAUUCAGGGGAAGGAUCCUUCGAAGGAUUCUACCUACCUGUGUCAUGUAGGAAGGGUCUUUCGACGGCAGUGUAGGCCAGAAGUGAGCAGAUGUGAAAUUGGACAGCCUUCUAGCCUUCGUUCAAGUCCGCCCUUAAUUCCGGUUUUUUUCCAGUCACUAGCCCCACAGCGUGAAAAUUUUAUAAUGGACCCAACAAUGUCGCUAUGUUUAUGUGUCUUGGUGGCUGUUUCUUGUUCUGUCUGUGUUUUUAAGUCUUUGCAGGUCCCUGAUUGGAUAAACUGACGGCUGCUGAUUGGUCCCCUGAUCAUGUGGUUGCUUUGAAAAUCUGUCACCAGCAGUUGUCCCGGGGCAGCCACUGACAGCAGCAGCAGACCUGACCCUCCAAAAGCUGUGUCAUUCGUGUUUGAGAUUCUCGUAACUUACCGAGCUUUGUAUAUAGUGUGUACAUUAGUUUUCACUUGUAAAUAGCACAUUGUAAAUAGCACUGAAAUAGAAGGGGUGAGCUGCCUUAUUAUUUUUCCUUGUACUGUUUUCUCCUGUUUAUUUCAGUUAGGGAGUUAGGUGUAGCGUUUGUCUUUUGUUUGGUUUUUGUUUCACAUAGGGUUUUAGACAACACCCCCUCUCCUGACUUAGCUUGUUUUGUUUGUUAUUUUGGCCUUUUUUCACCCCGGAGCUUCAUUUUCAGUGUAGAAAAAUAAACCACCGUUCACUAAGAAACUGGGUUUUCUGUGUAUGGUUUUGGGGACCAGGGCGGGGUCACUUCCUUUUUUAACUCUUAUGCUACGUUCCUGUACCCCUAGACAGGGGCGUAACA